RNAcentral lists this ribosomal RNA (601 nucleotides) under Oulimnius echinatus. Its description in RNAcentral is "SSU rRNA". It matches the Rfam family "Eukaryotic small subunit ribosomal RNA", at positions 22 to 602 of the family's 1831-position model. Lineage: Eukaryota; Metazoa; Arthropoda; Insecta; Coleoptera; Elmidae. RNAcentral also lists the same sequence under 1 other name. The record is from RNAcentral.
AGUCAUAUGCUUGUCUCAAAGAUUAAGCCAUGCAUGUCUCAGUACAAGCCUAAUUAAGGUGAAACCGCGAAAGGCUCAUUAAAUCAGUUAUGGUUCCUUAGAUCGUACCCACAUUUACUUGGAUAACUGUGGUAAUUCUAGAGCUAAUACAUGCAAACAGAGCUCCGACCGGAGACGGAAGGAGCGCUUUUAUUAGAUCAAAACCAAUCGGCGGCGGGCUUGCUCGCUGUCGUACACCUUGGUGAAUCUGAAUAACUUUCUGCUGAUCGCAUGGUCUCGCACCGGCGACGCAUCUUUCAAAUGUCUGCCUUAUCAACUGUCGAUGGUAGGUUCUGCGCCUACCAUGGUUGUAACGGGUAACGGGGAAUCAGGGUUCGAUUCCGGAGAGGGAGCCUGAGAAACGGCUACCACAUCCAAGGAAGGCAGCAGGCGCGCAAAUUACCCACUCCCGGCACGGGGAGGUAGUGACGAAAAAUAACGAUACGGGACUCAUCCGAGGCCCCGUAAUCGGAAUGAGUACACUCUAAACCCUUUAACGAGGAUCAAUUGGAGGGCAAGUCUGGUGCCAGCAGCCGCGGUAAUUCCAGCUCCAAUAGCGUAU